GCCUACGGGGCGCAGCAGUGGGGAAUAUUGCACAAUGGGGGAAACCCUGAUGCAGCGACGCCGCGUGAGUGAAGAAGUAAUUCGUUAUGUAAAGCUCUAUCAGCAGGGAAGAAAAUGACGGUACCUGAGUAAGAAGCCCCGGCUAACUACGUGCCAGCAGCCGCGGUAAUACGUAGGGGGCAAGCGUUAUCCGGAUUCACUGGGCGUAAAGGGAGCGCAGGCGGCACGGCAAGCCUGGUGUGAAAACCCGGGGCCCAACCCCGGGAGUGCAUUGGGAACUGCCGCGCUAGAGUGCCGGAGGGGGG
This 305-nucleotide ribosomal RNA is filed under the name uncultured bacterium. RNAcentral's name for it is "bacterial SSU rRNA". It matches the Rfam family "Bacterial small subunit ribosomal RNA", at positions 337 to 659 of the family's 1533-position model. The record is from RNAcentral.